RNAcentral lists this signal recognition particle RNA (264 nucleotides) under Anaerolineae bacterium. Its description in RNAcentral is "signal recognition particle sRNA large type". It matches the Rfam family "Bacterial large signal recognition particle RNA". From Rfam's summary of the family: The signal recognition particle (SRP) is a universally conserved ribonucleoprotein involved in the co-translational targeting of proteins to membranes. Archaeal SRP consists of a 7S RNA and homologues of the eukaryotic SRP19 and SRP54 proteins. The record is from RNAcentral. Lineage: Bacteria; Bacillati; Chloroflexota; Anaerolineae.
CCGUGCUAGACGGGGAGCUAGCGGUGCCCUGUACCCGCAAACCGCUCCAGCGGGGUCGAAUUCCAGCUCGAGGGCCGAGCGAGCCGAGCCUGUCAUGCAGCCGUGGCGUUGAAGGUUGGGUCCUGCGCGGCGAAGGGCCCCGAACCCCGUCAGGUCCGGAAGGAAGCAGCGGUAAGAGGAUUCCUUCGGGUGCCGCAGGGGUGCCUGGCCUGAGCUGCAGCUUCAUGGUAAGUCGGCCACGCUAGCACGACAGCUGGUGCACGG